GGGUGCCUCUCUCUUAUCCCAUUACAAAAAGUAAAGUCACGUAACUCCCAUUGGCGUGAGAGUAUAUGGGGCAUGAUCUUCCUUUGAAUCAAGUCCAAUACUUGGUCCAAGUCUAAUUGGUUUUGAGUUUCCAUAUGAGACCUAAUCUCAAAUCAAAAGGAGUCCUAGUUCCAUAAGACUCUUAUCAAAUCAAACUUUUUGACUUUGUUCAAUCCAAUUUGACUCAAACUCAGAUCAAGUCCAAU
Molecule: long non-coding RNA, 245 nt
Filed under: Elaeis guineensis (African oil palm)
Lineage: Eukaryota; Viridiplantae; Streptophyta; Magnoliopsida; Arecales; Arecaceae
Description: long non-coding RNA (EGUI_LNC062643)
Source: RNAcentral